Molecule: ribosomal RNA, 429 nt
Filed under: Actinomycetes bacterium
Lineage: Bacteria; Bacillati; Actinomycetota; Actinomycetes
Description: Actinobacteria bacterium partial 16S ribosomal RNA
Rfam family: Bacterial small subunit ribosomal RNA
Source: RNAcentral
UAGGGAAUCUUCCGCAAUGGGCGAAAGCCUGACGGAGCAACGCCGCGUGAGUGAUGAAGGUCUUCGGAUCGUAAAACUCUGUUAUUAGGGAAGAACAAAUGUGUAAGUAACUAUGCACGUCUUGACGGUACCUAAUCAGAAAGCCACGGCUAACUACGUGCCAGCAGCCGCGGUAAUACGUAGGUGGCAAGCGUUAUCCGGAAUUAUUGGGCGUAAAGCGCGCGUAGGCGGUUUUUUAAGUCUUAUGUGAAAGCCCACGGCUCAACCGUGGAGUGUCAUUGGAAACUGCAUAACUUGAUUGCAGAAGAGGAAAGUGGAAUUCCAUGUGUUGCCGUGAAAUGCGCAGAGAUAUGGAGGACCACCAGUGGCGAAGGCGACUUUCUGGUCUGUAACUGACGCUGAUGUGCGAAAGCGUGGGGAUCAAACAGG